GAUGAACGCUGACAGAAUGCUUAACACAUGCCAGUCUUUGGCGAAGCUGUGCUUGCACAGCCUAGCCAAGGCGGACGGGUGAGUAACGCGUAAGGAACUUGCCCUGCAGUCAGGGAUAACAGACGGAAACGACUGAUAAGACCUGGUAAAGUCAGGCGGACUCAUGUCCAGCCUGAUGAAAAGUGAUGCUGCAGGAGAGCCUUGCGUCCUAUUAGCUUGUUGGUGGGGUAACGGCCCACCAAGGCGAUGAUAGGUAGCCGGCCUGAGAGGGUGGACGGCCACAAGGGGACUGAGAUACGGCCCUGACUCCUACGGGAGGCAGCAGUGGGGAAUAUUGGACAAGGGGGGCAACCCUGAUCCAGCAAUUCUGUGUGCACGAUGAAGGUUUUCGGAUUGUAAAGUGCUUUCAGCAGGGAAGAAAAAAAUGACGGUACCUGCAGAAGAAGCGACGGCUAAAUACG
This 461-nucleotide ribosomal RNA is filed under the name uncultured bacterium. RNAcentral's name for it is "partial 16S ribosomal RNA". It matches the Rfam family "Bacterial small subunit ribosomal RNA", at positions 28 to 505 of the family's 1533-position model. The record is from RNAcentral.